This 497-nucleotide ribosomal RNA is filed under the name uncultured bacterium. RNAcentral's name for it is "partial 16S ribosomal RNA". It matches the Rfam family "Bacterial small subunit ribosomal RNA", at positions 28 to 507 of the family's 1533-position model. The record is from RNAcentral.
GAUGAACGCUGGCGGCGUGCCUAAUACAUUCAAGUCGAGCGAACGGACGAGAAUCUUGCUUCUCUGAUGUUAGCGGCGGACGUGUGUGUAACACGUGUAUAACCUACCUAUAAUACUUGGAUAACUUCGUGAAACCUGAUCUAAUACCGGAUAAUAUUUUGAACCGCAUUGUUCAUUAUUGUAAUACGGUCUUGCUGUCACUUAUAGAUGUUUCCGCUCUGCAUUAGCUAGUUGGUAAGGGAACGUCUUACCAAGGCAACGAUGCAUAGCCGACCUGAGAGGGAGAUCGGAAAAACAGGAACUGAGACAAGGAAAAGAAAACUACGGGAGGCAGCAGUAGGGAAUCUAGCGCAAUGGGCGAAAGCAUGACGGAGCAACGGCGAGUGAGAGAUGAAGGUCUAAGGAUCGUAAAAAUCUGUUAUUAGGGAAGAAAAUAUGUGUAAGUAAAUGUGCACAAAGUGACGGUAACUAAUCAGAAAGAAACGGCUAACGACGUG